GAGAGCUGGGGGUGGGCACAGCCUGCCCCAUCCCUGCACUGUCCCCUUGGCACAGCCCCAUGGGUCUGGGGGCAGAUCUGGGGAGGCUCUGGGGCACAGGAGGUGCCCCUCAGCAGCUGGGGAAUGCCUUGUGUGAGCUGGGAAGGGGCUGGCAGGGAGCUACGACAAACACCUCGCUACGGAAAGAGCUCUGAGCCGCUGCUGCUUCCCGCAGGAGACGACAAAGCCACGAUCCCGGUGACGGACACCGAGUUCAGCCAAGCCGUAAACCCACAGAGCUUCUGCACAGGCGUGUCCCUGCACCACCCUGCCCUGAUCCAGAACACGGGGCCACUCAUCGACAUGUCGGACAUACGCCCGGGCACCAGUAAGUGCUGGGCUGGGGACACUGGGGGCACUGGGGGAGGCAGAGCUGGGCACCCCCCGGGUGCGUGGCCAAAAGCAGCCACAGGCGAUGCAGAGGGAGCAGGGAGCGCUGCGGCGAGGUGGCUCUGACCGAGCCAACGUGCCCUCACCAUCAUUUUCUAGACCCCGUGUCCAGGAAGAGCGUCAAGUCUGCGCACAGCACCCGCAACCGCUACUCCAGCCAGUGGACCCUCACCAAGUGCCAGGCGUCCACGCCGGCGCGCACCCUCACCUCGGACUGGCGGACGGUGGGCUCGCAGCACGGCAUCACUGUCACCGAGAGCGACAGCUACAGUGCCAGCCUCUCCCAGGACACGGACAAGGGCCGGAACAGCAUGGUGUCGACGGAGAGCGCCUCGUCCACCUACGAGGAGCUGGCGCGCGCCUACGAGCACGCCAAGCUGGAGGAGCAGCUGCAGCACGCCAAGUUCGAGAUCACCGAGUGCUUCAUCUCCGACAGCUCCUCCGACCAGAUGACCACGGGCACCACCGACAACGCCGACAGCAUGACCUCCAUGAGCACCCCCUCGGAGCCCGGCAUCUGCCGCUUCACCGCCUCCCCGCCCAAGCCCCAGGACAGCGAGCGGGGCAAGAGCGUGGCCGUGCCCAUCCCACACCGCGCCAGCAAGAGUACGUAGCGCAUCGGGCACAAGCACAAAGCUACCAC
RNAcentral lists this long non-coding RNA (1072 nucleotides) under Anas platyrhynchos platyrhynchos (common mallard). RNAcentral describes it as "lncRNA (ENSAPLG00000028767.1)". The record is from RNAcentral. Lineage: Eukaryota; Metazoa; Chordata; Aves; Anseriformes; Anatidae.